AACGAACGCUGGCGGCAUGCCUAACACAUGCAAGUCGAACGAGACCUUCGGGUCUAGUGGCGCACGGGUGCGUAACGCGUGGGAACCUGCCCUUAGGUUCGGAAUAACUCCCCGAAAGGUGUGCUAAUACCGGAUAAUGUCUUCGGACCAAAGAUUUAUCGCCUUUGGAUGGGCCCGCGUUGGAUUAGCUAGUUGGUAGGGUAAAAGCCUACCAAGGCGACGAUCCAUAGCUGGUCUGAGAGGAUGAUCAGCCACACUGGGACUGAGACACGGCCCAGGCUCCUACGGGAAGCAGCAGUGGGGAAUAUUGGACAAUGGGCGAAAGCCUGAUCCAGCAAUGCCGCGUGAGUGAUGAAGGCCUUAGGGUUGUAAAGCUCUUUUACCCGGGAUGAUAAUGACAGUACCGGGAGAAGAAGCUCCGGCUAACUCCGUG
Molecule: ribosomal RNA, 433 nt
Filed under: uncultured bacterium
Lineage: Bacteria
Description: partial 16S ribosomal RNA
Rfam family: Bacterial small subunit ribosomal RNA
Source: RNAcentral